UACAGGUGGUCAGGUAGAGAAUACUAAGGCGAUCGAGAGAACUGUGGUUAAGGAACUCGGCAAAAUGCCCCCGUAACUUCGGGAGAAGGGGGACCAGUCCUGGUGACGACAUUUACUGUCUGAGCUGGGGUUGGUCGCAGAGACCAGAGAGAAGCGACUGUUUACUAAAAACACAGGUCCGUGCGAAGUCGUAAGACGAUGUAUACGGACUGACGCCUGCCCGGUGCUGGAAGGUUAAGAGGACCGGUCAGCCACUUCGGUGGCGAAGCUGAGAAUUUAAGCCCCAGUAAACGGCGGUGGUAACUAUAACCAUCCUAAGGUAGCGAAAUUCCUUGUCGGGUAAGUUCCGACCUGCACGAAUGGCGUAACGACUUCUCUGCUGUCUCAACCACAGACUCGGCGAAAUUGCAGUACGAGUAAAGAUGCUUGUUACGCGCGGCAGGACGAGAAGACCCCGGGACCUUCACUAUAGCUUGGUAUUGGUGUUCGGUUCGGUUUGUGUAGGAUAGGUGGGAGACUGUGAAACUCGCACGCCAGUGUGGGUGGAGUCAUUUGAAAUACCACUCUGACCGUAUUGGACAUCUAACCUCGGACCAUGAUCUGGUUCAGGGACAGUGCCUGGUGGGUAGUUUAACUGGGGCGGUUGCCUCCUAAAAAGUAACGGAGGCGCCCAAAGGUUCCCUCAGCCUGGUUGGCAAUCAGGUGUUGAGUGUAAGUGCACAAGGGAGCUUGACUGUGAGACGUACAUGUCGAGCAGGGACGAAAGUCGGGACUAGUGAUCCGGCACCGGCAAGUGGAAGCGGUGUCGCUCAACGGAUAAAAGGUACCCCGGGGAUAACAGGCUGAUCUUCCCCAAGAGUCCAUAUCGACGGGAUGGUUUGGCACCUCGAUGUCGGCUCGUCGCAUCCUGGGGCUGGAGUAGGUCCCAAGGGUUGGGCUGUUCGCCCAUUAAAGCGGCACGCGAGCUGGGUUUAGAACGUCGUGAGACAGUUCGGUCUCUAUCCGCCGCGCGCGUAAGAAACUUGAGGAAACCUGUCCCUAGUACGAGAGGACCGGGACGGACGAACCUCUGGUGUGCCAGUUGUUCCACCAGGAGCACCGCUGGUUAGCUACGUUCGGAAGGGAUAACCGCUGAAAGCAUCUAAGCGGGAAGCCUGUUCCAAGAUGAGGUUUCUCACCACCUAGCGUGGUUAAGGCCCCCCAGAGACCAUGGGGUUGAUAGGCCAGAACUGUAAGCACAGCAAUGUGUUCAGGUGACUGGUACUAAUCGGCCGAGGACUUACAG
This 1285-nucleotide ribosomal RNA is filed under the name metagenome. Its description in RNAcentral is "bacterial LSU rRNA". It matches the Rfam family "Bacterial large subunit ribosomal RNA", at positions 1658 to 2925 of the family's 2925-position model. The record is from RNAcentral.